Oxyura jamaicensis (ruddy duck) is the source of this 487-nucleotide long non-coding RNA. RefSeq lists it as uncharacterized. Lineage: Eukaryota; Metazoa; Chordata; Aves; Anseriformes; Anatidae. The transcript is spliced from 2 exons. The record is from RefSeq and is a predicted model, not a curated record.
UGUUUAUAAGGGCUUACGAGGAAACAGGAAAAGCACCAAGAAGUAGAGCUGUUGUAGGUUACUACACAAGCAAGGUGCAGGAGAGCUGAGACCUCCACAGAGCUGGAUAUUUGCAAAAUCUGGUUCUAUCAGAAGAUACAGCACACAAUUUAAAAGCACAGUAAGAAUUUCUUCGUAUGUGUAGCAGUGAGAGAAAUGUAACCGCUUUUGAAAACAAGUCCAAACAUUAUUUUUGUGUAGUGAGAAGUACAUCAAUAAGUAACUUGCCUGUGAAAUGAUUGCGUGUGUUUCAUGUGCUGCUUAUUUUGGCCAAAUAUACAUGUAGGAUCUAAGGCUUUUAGCUUUAGCCAGAACAUAAAGAAGUAAAUUCAGUCUUAAUUUACCAAUGUUGCAUAUAUAUUUUGACAUGAGAGAUGUGGCAAGCAGAGUAGGAGAGGUGCCUUUUGUUACUGGGCCUUGGAGACCUUAGGUAAGAGGUAGCGUGUUC